CCUACGGGUGGCAGCAGUGAGGAAUAUUGGUCAAUGGGCGAGAGCCUGAACCAGCCAAGUCGCGUGAGGGAGUACUGCCCUAUGGGUUGUAAACCUCUUUUGUCGGGGAGCAAAAGCCGGACGUGUCCGGCUGUUAGAGUACCCGAAGAAAAAGCAUCGGCUAACUCCGUUCCAGCAGCAGGGGUAAUACGGAGGAUGCUGGCGUUACCCGGAUUUAUUGGGUUUAAAGGGGGCGCAGGCGGAUUUUUAAGUCAGCGGUCAAAUCGUGGGGCUCAAACCCAUCCAGCCGUUGACACUGGGGAUCUAGAGUGUGCGAGAGGUAUGCGGAAUGCGUGGUGUAGCGGUGAAAUGCAUAGAUAUCACGCAGAACCCCGAUUGCGAAGGCAGCAUACCGGUGCACAACUGACGCUCAGGCACGAAAGCGUGGGUAUCGAACAGGAUUAGAUACCCCGGUAGUC
This 458-nucleotide ribosomal RNA is filed under the name uncultured bacterium. Its description in RNAcentral is "partial 16S ribosomal RNA". It matches the Rfam family "Bacterial small subunit ribosomal RNA", at positions 338 to 795 of the family's 1533-position model. The record is from RNAcentral.